RNAcentral lists this ribosomal RNA (253 nucleotides) under uncultured bacterium. Its description in RNAcentral is "partial 16S ribosomal RNA". It matches the Rfam family "Bacterial small subunit ribosomal RNA", at positions 524 to 776 of the family's 1533-position model. The record is from RNAcentral.
UACGGAGGGUGCAAGCGUUAUCCGGAUUUAUUGGGUUUAAAGGGUUCGUAGGCGGACCGAUAAGUCAGUGGUGAAAUCUCAUAGCUCAACUAUGAAACUGCCAUUGAUACUGUCGGUCUUGAGUAAAUUUGAAGUGGCUGGAAUAAGUAGUGUAGCGGUGAAAUGCAUAGAUAUUACUUAGAACACCAAUUGCGAAGGCAGGUCACUAAGAUUUAACUGACGCUGAUGGACGAAAGCGUGGGUAGCGAACAGG